This 202-nucleotide unclassified non-coding RNA is filed under the name Hevea brasiliensis (rubber tree). The record is from RNAcentral. Lineage: Eukaryota; Viridiplantae; Streptophyta; Magnoliopsida; Malpighiales; Euphorbiaceae.
CUUCUUCAGCAUACAUAUUGGAGAGCAAAACUUUAUAGCCUGCCAUGCUGUCUACUGAGCCCAUUUGAAGUAACUUAUUGGCAAUAACCUCUCCCAGUUCAAUGGGUCCAUGAAGUCUACAAGCUCCAAGAAGUGAUCCCCAAAUUUCCAUUACAUUCCCUUCUUUGCCCAGUUGUUUAACAAACUCAUAGGCUUCAAUCAC